Lepidothrix coronata (blue-crowned manakin) is the source of this 788-nucleotide long non-coding RNA. RefSeq lists it as uncharacterized. NCBI's taxonomy places the organism in Eukaryota, Metazoa, Chordata, Aves, Passeriformes, Pipridae. The record is from RefSeq and is a predicted model, not a curated record. The transcript is spliced from 3 exons.
UUUUCAGCAGCUGCAGUAAAAGACAAUAUCUCUCCCUACAAAACGUACCUCAUUUGUGCCAUAUCACUACUGUAUUGUUCACCUUCAUCGGAAAUCCUGCAAAUCAUAGUCAGGAUGAACAGGCUCCAGUACAGCAUCACUGAUGUUUCCAAUACUCUCUCUCACCAGUAGGCUGAGGGUGGGCAAAGUCCUGAGAGGGGACAGCUGACCUCAGCUGACUAAAGGGGCAAUUCCAUACAAUAUGAUGUCUGCUCAACAAUAAAGUAAACAGAAAGGAGGAGGAAGGUGUGGGGGAGGGAGAGUGUGGGCAGGUGUGGUAGUUUAGUCUAGGCCUUCCUCGGUGACCAGUUUAUAACCAAGGAAGUACCCAGAUUUAUCCUGUAUUCCCUAUGAUUUUUACCUAAGCCACGGUAUAAGAAGAAGGGAGGAAAGGCCUUCGCCCUUCUUUCCUUCUGGCGGCUUUGGAGGUGCAGGUUUCCCUGCUGUUGAGUCUGUCGUGUUGGGGAGCGAGGCCUGGUAAGGCCUUGCCGACCCUGGGAGGUGGAGGUUGCCAGCAGUCUUUCCAGCACAACUUUCUGUUGUCCCAAGGAGAGUAAAAAGACUACAAAGCCCUUUGCACAGACCAAGGAAGAUCUCCAGAGCCCAGGAUCAUCAGUGGAAGCCAAAGCAGAUGUUCAGAAACAUGCCAUUUCAAGGGCAGGGGCCACACACACUUCAGUUUGUUGUCUUCUUUUGCAAUGCUGUUUUGUAAACCAAACUUGGACAACAGCGUGACCAACGGGAAUUCU